UGCUUGAGGCUAGCAAUGCUCUAUCGAACCAGGGACCCUUGCUUGAGGCUAGCAAUGCUCUAUCGAACCAGGGACCCUUGCUUGAGGCUAGCAAUGCUCUAUCGAACCAGGGACCCUUGCUUGAGGCUAGCAAUGCUCUAUCGAACCAGGGACCCCCCUUGCUUGAGGCUAGCAAUGCUCUAUCGAACCAGGGACCCUUGCUUGAGGCUAGCAAUGCUCUAACCACUGCAGGAUACGAUUGUCAGGCACAUGUUUUUGUAUUGCCUAGACAUUGCUUCUACUCAUUUCUGGAAAACCAGCACGGUGAUGGUCUUGCCAAACCGUCUACAGUCUAUAACCGAGAGCUGUCUGUGUCCUUGCCACUGGCAUCCUAGGCACAUGGCAGACGCCCAUUCUGUCCUGUGCCACACACGCGAUCCGUGUGUGGGCUACAUGCCGCUGUCAUUCGGCCGCAUGGCUCACCAACCUGCCACCGCAGCAACUAUCGUAUACAGCGCCAGUGACCGUCGAUGUGUGCUCUCACUAGCUCGAGCUCUGGUCUCCUAAAAUGCGGCAUUCUCACCAGACAGUGUUGUGUUGUCAAUGAGACUCAGCACGUGACGUUCGGCUCUCUGGUAAAGAUUAUACCUGGGAGUCAGCAUAGUGGAAGAGGAGGAUUCAAGUUCAUUCAAGAAGAUGAGGAAGGGUCAAACAGGAGCCUACCGUGAAUAAUGGUCUUGCCAAACCGUCUACAGUCUAUAACCAAGACCGGUCUGCCAUGAAUAGAGCAUAGUCCAAGGCGUAUGGCAAGUUGUUCUCGGUCCACAAACUCUACUAAGCGCCGAUCAAGAGCCCGUCCGAAAGUAAUGCAUUGGCACUGGAAGACAAUGUUUCCGGAGUACCGCAUUCCCGGACAUGCUAUGGAGAGCCAUCCAGGGUAUUCCCCUAAUGCCGCUAGUUCUGCAGACAAAAGGGAAAGGCACGACGUUGUUAAUGCAACAAAUUGUGUGCAUUCAGCAUCCUCCAAAGAUGUAACCACGGUUACCGCAGAGCUGGACAAGUGCAGUUUUAAUUGCGGCCUACCACCAACUAUAUGUACUAGGUAUCGAGAGCGGUUGAAGGAUUUUCUUACCAGUGGAAGUUGAUGAACUGAUCAGGAUUGAUAACAUGUAGCAUUGUUUGUGGAUCAUAGGCUCUAGCUUAAAUGUCGUGUCUUGUAUCUUGACAAUCUAUGCAUCAGUCUCCAUGUAUAUGUGCCCUAAUAUCAUUUGCUUGUAUAUAUCAGCAUUGGCUAUCCUUGUAAAUGUUUUUUGUUGUACACCAGUAUCUGGCUGGUCAGCAAAGUAGUGUGUUGUACUAGGUCUUGUCUAGCUUGCAAUGGUUGUGGCAUACUGAGCACUGCACUCACUCCAUUCCAAAAUCAGCACUGUUUUUGUUUGAAAUCUGUCUGAAAAUACGUAAAAAUUAUUUGGGGUGGUGUUUAUGUUUAUGAUUUCCUAUUUUUCACUUUUGCUGUCAAAAUGAGAACCAACAUUUCUGCGGGGUGUGCUGCUGCCAGCCUUGAUCACUCAGUGUUGAAGAAUAGGCGCGGCAAAUGAGUGAUUGUAUGGCAAGUGAA
Sycon ciliatum is the source of this 1597-nucleotide long non-coding RNA. RefSeq lists it as uncharacterized. The record is from RefSeq and is a predicted model, not a curated record. The transcript has 4 exons. NCBI's taxonomy places the organism in Eukaryota, Metazoa, Porifera, Calcarea, Leucosolenida, Sycettidae.